RNAcentral lists this ribosomal RNA (323 nucleotides) under uncultured bacterium. RNAcentral describes it as "bacterial SSU rRNA". It matches the Rfam family "Bacterial small subunit ribosomal RNA", at positions 82 to 422 of the family's 1533-position model. The record is from RNAcentral.
UAGCAAUACGAGAGUGGCAGACGGGUGAGUAACACGUGGGAACCUUCCCUAUGGUUCGGAAUAGCUCAGGGAAACUUGAGGUAAUACCGGAUAAGCCCUUACGGGGAAAGAUUUAUCGCCAUUGGAUGGGCCCGCGUCGGAUUAGCUAGUUGGUGAGGUAACGGCUCACCAAGGCGACGAUCCGUAGCUGGUCUGAGAGGAUGAUCGGCCACACUGGGACUGAGACACGGCCCAGACUCCUACGGGAGGCAGCAGUGGGGAAUAUUGGACAAUGGGCGCAAGCCUGAUCCAGCCAUGCCGCGUGAGUGACGAAGGCCUUAGGG